GUGGGGAAUAUUGGGCAAUGGGGGAAACCCUGACCCAGCGACGCCGCGUGAGGGAAGACGGCCUUCGGGUUGUAAACCUCUUUUGUACGGGAAGAAGGAAGUGACGGUACUGUACGAAUAAGUCCCGGCUAACUACGUGCCAGCAGCCGCGGUAAUACGUAGGGGACGAGCGUUGUCCGGAAUUACUGGGCGUAAAGGGCGCGCAGGCUGUGCUGCAAGUCAGCUGUGAAAUGUCUGGGCUUAACCCGGGCAUGCGGUUGAGACUGCAGUGCUGGAGUGCUGUAGAGGCAAGUGGAAUUCCCAGUGUAGCGGUGAAAUGCGUAGAUAUUGGGAAGAACACCGGUGGCGAAGGCGACUUGCUGGGCAGCAACUGACGCUGAGGCGCGAAAGCCAGGGGAGCAAACGGGAUUAGAUACCCUUGUAGUCC
RNAcentral lists this ribosomal RNA (427 nucleotides) under uncultured bacterium. Its description in RNAcentral is "partial 16S ribosomal RNA". It matches the Rfam family "Bacterial small subunit ribosomal RNA", at positions 354 to 796 of the family's 1533-position model. The record is from RNAcentral.